GACGAACGCUGGCGGCGUGCUUAACACAUGCAAGUCGAGCGGUAAGGCCCUUUCGGGGGUACACGAGCGGCGAACGGGUGAGUAACACGUGGGUGACCUGCCCUCAGCUCUGGGAUAAGCCUGGGAAACCGGGUCUAAUACCGGAUAUGACUCCAUGACGCAUGUUGUGGGGUGGAAAGCCUUGUGCGGCUGAGGAUGGGCCCGCGGCCUAUAACNGCUUGUUGGUGGGGUGAUGGCCUACCAAGGCGACGACGGGUAGCCGGCCUGAGAGGGCGACCGGCCACACUGGGACUGAGACACGGCCCAGACUCCUACGGGAGGCAGCAGUGGGGAAUCUUGCGCAAUGGGCGAAAGCCUGACGCAGCGACGCCGCGUGAGGG
This 380-nucleotide ribosomal RNA is filed under the name uncultured bacterium. RNAcentral's name for it is "bacterial SSU rRNA". It matches the Rfam family "Bacterial small subunit ribosomal RNA", at positions 28 to 407 of the family's 1533-position model. The record is from RNAcentral.